CCGAGUUUACAACUCCCAAACCCCUGUGAACAUACCUUAAUGUUGCCUCGGCGGAUCAGCCCGCGCCCGGUAAAACGGGACGGCCCGCCAGAGGAUCCAAACUCUUGCUGUUAUUGUAACUUCUGAGUAAAACAAACAAAUAAAUCA
RNAcentral lists this unclassified non-coding RNA (147 nucleotides) under uncultured Fusarium. RNAcentral's name for it is "sequence contains ITS1". The record is from RNAcentral. Lineage: Eukaryota; Fungi; Ascomycota; Sordariomycetes; Hypocreales; Nectriaceae.